Molecule: long non-coding RNA, 635 nt
Organism: Ixodes scapularis (black-legged tick)
Lineage: Eukaryota; Metazoa; Arthropoda; Arachnida; Ixodida; Ixodidae
Exons: 2
Source: RefSeq, a predicted model, not a curated record
CCCAGCCGUCACCAAGGUUGCCACCACCUACCAGGCUGCUCCCGCUGUUGCCUCUUACGCUGUUGCCCCAGUUGCCACUUACGCUGCUGCCCCAGCUGUUGCCAAGGUUGCCACCACCUACCACGCUGCUCCAGCUGUCGCUUCCUACGCUGUCGCCCCAGCUGUAACCAGGGUUGCCACCGCCUACCACGCUGCUCCAGCUGUUGCCACCUACGCUGCUCCAGCCGUGGCCACCUACGCUGCUCCAGCUGUGGCCACCUACGCUGCCCCAGCUGUCGCAAAGGUUGCGACCACCUACCACGCUGCUCCAGCCGUUGCCAGCUACCAGACCUACCACGCUGCCCCAGCUGUCACCACCGUCGCCCACGCUCCAGCUUACGGCUACGGAAUCGGCACCCUCGGCUACGGCGUCGGUCACUACGGCUUUGGUCAUGGUCUUGGCAGCUACGGCCUGAACUACGGUUACGGCCUCGGUGGCUUCAACGACUACACUGCUCUCCUCCGCAAGAGGAAGUAAACCACAUCGGAACGUCCAGUAACCUACUUAGCCAAGCUUGAGAGAAUAGUUGCGUGGCCCUUGCUGUAUACGGAAACUCUGUACUAUGUCUUCUCAAUAAAUUAUUUUGGAAGUUGUA